Molecule: unclassified non-coding RNA, 741 nt
Filed under: Hevea brasiliensis (rubber tree)
Lineage: Eukaryota; Viridiplantae; Streptophyta; Magnoliopsida; Malpighiales; Euphorbiaceae
Source: RNAcentral
UUUUUAUUUUUUAUUUUUAAUUAUGAAUUAUUGGUAGGCAUCCUAUUUAGCAGUGGUAAUUUUAGACAUGACCCACGAAAACGACUCAAACAUGACAUGAAAAUAGAGAAUUAGGUUUGAACUUUGUAAUUUAGGUAAUUUUCUAUUUCACUAAGAUGUUAAUAUACAGAUAUAUAUAUGUAUACAAUAUUCUCCUAUUCUAAAUGGAUUAGAACUCUAAUUCUACAAGGAUUAGGAAUCCUAUCCUAUAGGGGUCAAUCUCAUAAUUGGAGUAAACUUCCUCAUUAAGAAGACUUCUAUAACACUCCCCCUCAAGUUGGAGUAUAGAUGUUAAUCAUGCCCAACUUAUUACAGAUGUAGUCAACCCGAGUUCCAUUUAGAGCUUUUGUAAACAAAUCUCCUAGUUAGUCUCCAAUUUUGAUAUGCUGUGUUGAGAUAAUCCCUUGUUGAAGCUUUUCCCGGACAAAAUGACAAUCAAUUUCAAUAUACUUGGCCCGUUCAUGGAACACCGGAUUAGGAGCAAUAUAGAGAGCAGCUUGAUUAUCACACCAUAACCGUGCAGGCAAAGAGGUCUUAAGGUCAACCUCAUCUAAUAAUUGAAGUAUCCAUACUAUUUCACACACUGAUUGUGCCAUAACUCUAUAUUCCGAUUCAGCACUAGAUCGCGAGACUACGCUAUGUUUCUUACUUCUCUAUGUCACUCAAUUACCUCCAAAGGACACAAUAUCCAGUAGUUGAUCU